CAUGGCCUUCCCAGCUCGUGCCGUGAGGUGUUAGGUUAAGUCCUGCAACGAGCGCAACCCCUGUCACUAGUUGCCAUCAUUAAGUUGGGGACUCUAGUGAGACUGCCUACGCAAGUAGAGAGGAAGGUGGGGAUGACGUCAAAUCAUCACGGCCCUUACGCCUUGGGCCACACACGUAAUACAAUGGCCGGUACAGAGGGCAGCUACACAGCGAUGUGAUGCAAAUCUCGAAAGCCGGUCUCAGUUCGGAUUGGAGUCUGCAACUCGACUCUAUGAAGCUGGAAUCGCUAGUAAUCGCGCAUCAGCCAUGGCGCGGUGAAUACGUUCCCGGGCCUUGUACACACCGCCCGUCAAGCCAUGGAAGUCUGGGGUACCUGAAGUCGGUGACCGUAACAGGAGCUCCUUAU
RNAcentral lists this ribosomal RNA (407 nucleotides) under bacterium 28S211. Its description in RNAcentral is "bacterial SSU rRNA". It matches the Rfam family "Bacterial small subunit ribosomal RNA", at positions 1044 to 1453 of the family's 1533-position model. The record is from RNAcentral.